This 168-nucleotide ribosomal RNA is filed under the name uncultured bacterium. RNAcentral's name for it is "partial 16S ribosomal RNA". It matches the Rfam family "Bacterial small subunit ribosomal RNA", at positions 350 to 524 of the family's 1533-position model. The record is from RNAcentral.
CGCGGUAAUGCCAUGGCGCAGUUGAUGCAGCCAUGCCGCGUGUGUGAGAAGGCCUUCGGGUUGUAAAGCACUUUCAGCGAGGAGGAAGGUGGUGAACUUAAUACGUUCAUCAAUUGACGUUACUCGCAGAAGAAGCACCGGCUAACUCCGUGCCACAGCCGCGGUAAA